Molecule: unclassified non-coding RNA, 514 nt
Filed under: uncultured Glomus
Lineage: Eukaryota; Fungi; Glomeromycota; Glomeromycetes; Glomerales; Glomeraceae
Also listed under: 1 other name
Description: SSU rRNA
Rfam family: Eukaryotic small subunit ribosomal RNA
Source: RNAcentral
AGCAGCCGCGGUAAUUCCAGCUCCAAUAGCGUAUAUUAAAGUUGUUGCAGUUAAAAAGCUCGUAGUUGAACUUCAGGCCUGGCUGGACGGUCCGCCCUCUGGGUGAGCACUGUCUGUGGUCGGGUCCUACCUUCUGGCGAAGCGGCAUGGCCUUAACCGGCCGUGGCGGGGAACCAGGACUUUUACUGUGAAAAAUUAGAGUGUUCAAAGCAGGCACGCGCUUGAAUACAUUAGCAUGGAAUAAUGGAAUAGGACAAUGGUUCUAUUUGUUGGUUUCUAGGACCGUUGUAAUGAUUAAUAGGGAUAGUUGGGGGCAUUAGUAUUCAAUUGUCAGAGGUGAAAUUCUUGGAUUUAUUGAAGACUAACUACUGCGAAAGCAUUUGCCAAGGAUGUUUUCAUUAAUCAAGAACGAAAGUUAGGGGAUCGAAGACGAUCAGAUACCGUCGUAGUCUUAACCAUAAACUAUGCCGACUAGGAAUCGGGCGAUGUUGACAAAAUGACGCGCUCGGCACCU